AGCGAACGCUGGCGGCAGGCUUAACACAUGCAAGUCGAGCGGGCAUAGCAAUAUGUCAGCGGCAGACGGGUGAGUAGCGCGUGGGAACGUACCUUUUGGUUCGGAACAACUGAGGGAAACUUCAGCUAAUACCGGAUAAGCCCUUCCGGGGAAAGAUUUAUCGCCGAAAGAUCGGCCCGCGUCUGAUUAGCUAGUUGGUGAGGUAAUGGCUCACCAAGGCGACGAUCAGUAGCUGGUCUGAGAGGAUGAUCAGCCACAUUGGGACUGAGACACGGCCCAAACUCCUACGGGAGGCAGCAGUGGGGAAUAUUGGACAAUGGGCGCAAGCCUGAUCCAGCCAUGCCGCGUGAGUGAUGAAGGCCCCAGGGUUGUAAAGCUCUUUUGUGCGGGAAGAUAAUGACGGUACCGCAAGAAUAAGCCCCGGCUAACUUCGUG
This 435-nucleotide ribosomal RNA is filed under the name uncultured bacterium. RNAcentral's name for it is "partial 16S ribosomal RNA". It matches the Rfam family "Bacterial small subunit ribosomal RNA", at positions 29 to 507 of the family's 1533-position model. The record is from RNAcentral.